This is a long non-coding RNA of Zophobas morio, 235 nucleotides long. RefSeq lists it as uncharacterized. The record is from RefSeq and is a predicted model, not a curated record. The transcript is spliced from 2 exons. Lineage: Eukaryota; Metazoa; Arthropoda; Insecta; Coleoptera; Tenebrionidae.
GACGAUCCAAAAACGAAGGAAAUUAUUUCAAAAUUUCCAUUUUUGAAGGCUGAAGAUAUUGCGGAUUCGGUGUUGUACGUUUUGGCAACGCCUCCACACGUACAGGUACAUGAACUAAUGAUUAAGCCUGUUGGGGAACCCGUAUAAUUGUUGACAAGUUAGAAAAAAAGCACACACAAUAGUUUCAAUGUUCAGUUAUACACAUUGUACAAUAAAUAAUAAUGUAUUCCAUAAA